Molecule: long non-coding RNA, 223 nt
Filed under: Elaeis guineensis (African oil palm)
Lineage: Eukaryota; Viridiplantae; Streptophyta; Magnoliopsida; Arecales; Arecaceae
Description: long non-coding RNA (EGUI_LNC049179)
Source: RNAcentral
UGGUGUAGUUCGACCUAUGCAAGAUAUUGAUAUCUAAUCUUAAUUUUAAUUUUUAAUUUUUAGAUUAUAUGCAUAUCUUAGAUCUAGAUAUAGAUAGUAUUAGAUUUGAUCUAAAGCAUGUGGGGUUAAAGGAAUUUAACCUAGAUCUGCUUUCGCUAUUUAAAAAUUAUUUUAAAAUCUAUGCAUACAAUCUUACCCAUUUUCUAUUAGUGAUAUCAGAGCC